Molecule: long non-coding RNA, 893 nt
Filed under: Marmota monax (woodchuck)
Lineage: Eukaryota; Metazoa; Chordata; Mammalia; Rodentia; Sciuridae
Source: RNAcentral
UUCCUCUUCCAUACUCUGUUGAAGAUCUAAUAACACCAAAAUCAGAAAAAAGAAGCAUCUGGAGAGAAAAAAAAAGAAGCAAGGAACCCAAAAUAUACCCAACAGAUUGGAUCAUCAACCACCAAAUGACCCAUGAGUUUGCUGAGUAUAUUUCUAAACUAGAUAUAUUUAUUUUUUGCUGCAUUUGUGGGGAUUAGAAAGUUAUUUUAUAUGUACAUAUAUUUUAAUAAUUUGGUAGAUGUGUAAAUUUCUCAUAGUUUUAUCAUUUGCUUCCAUAAUAUACAGAGUGAUAUGAAAUUUAGUUUUUAAAAGAAAAUAUAUUGGCAGCUGAAAGGUUGGUACUAGGGUUCAAGGUACGGAUGAAAAUAUUACUGGUCAUCAAUACCUACAAUCACUGGACCUUAGCAGAAUAUGUCUUUGUUUGAUUUUGCUUCUGUGAAAUACCAUUUUCUUAAACUUAGGAAGUCUGCAAGAGGCUGGAGCAUAGCUCAGUGAUAGAGCACUUUUGUAGCAUGCAUGAGUCCUGGGUUCCAUACUCAGCAACACACACACACACACACACACACACACACAGAACUCUUCAUCUACGUGCUACACAGCAGUACUAUAUUUUUGCUCUGCUUAUUUACCAAUAGUUGUUAGCAUAUUAUAAGGCAAAGUAUAUCAAGUACGAAAUCACUAGUCAUAUACUUUCUAAUUUCAACCUUGCUGCUAACCUUGUAGACUGGAUAAGUUAUUUAUUCGCUUUGUAACUCAGACUUUUAUUCAAAAUAGUUUGAUUACACUCAUUAUUUUAAAUAAGUUUUAUUGGAAAACAUCUUAAAAGGGAAGGAUUUAUUCUUACCUCAAAAUUGGCGAAUCAAAUCAGCUGCGGUAUAUAUGCAUUCAAACAG